GCCGAGAUGCAAAUUACAAGGGCCAACACCUAUUACUAUUAGCCACUGCCGCCAUUCUCCUUCAGCGUCAUUCACUGUCGCCGUCGCAGCUUCAGCUUUCUUUCUCCACUUCGAAGUCAUUUUCGUUGAUCGGGUAUGCUCUUCCUCACCAUGCCAUUGCUUUCGUUUACAGUUGAUGUUCUUCCUCACUGUAGCUGACGCUGUCGUUCACCACUUUGAAGCCAUCAUCGAGGUAGGCUUUUGUAAUUGAAGUUAAGGAGGCAAGGAACCCUAAUUAGCUGCCUACCCGUUGCCUGUCCAAUUCGUGUCGCCAUUUAUUUACUUUGGGUAAGGUCAAACAAGAUCAACCCAACGGAAAAGCCGUGACUCGUGAUAGACCUAGAAAAAAUGACAGCCGUAUGGGUUUGGGCAUGACACAUUUUGUUGUAAUCUCACCACAGAAACAACACAACUGAAGGGUAGUACCUCCCCGAGAACAAAAGGCGUGAGUGAUAAGGGUUACUGGGUCACCAACAGCAGUUCUUCUGUUCCUCUUUCCUAGCAGAAGCUUCUCCUAUCCUCUCUUUCAAGUUUAGACUGAGAAGAAAAGAGCACAAACCCUUCUUCAAACACAUUUUGCUGAAUUGGGUUGUUCUUGAUUUAUGGCUGUAAGGACUGCAAGGCAAUUAUUGAGGGAUGUUUUGUAUGAAAGGGUAAUUUCAACUCCUGUUGUAGGUGUUAGACAUUGCUCUUCUGUUGCAGAAACUCCUCCUAAAAUCCCUCACUUCU
RNAcentral lists this unclassified non-coding RNA (768 nucleotides) under Hevea brasiliensis (rubber tree). Lineage: Eukaryota; Viridiplantae; Streptophyta; Magnoliopsida; Malpighiales; Euphorbiaceae. The record is from RNAcentral.